CUGUUACAGCAAAGGAUAUGCCACCACCCUCCUGUGUCUGAAGCUUGCCCAGCCAGCAGGUCCAGCUCCAGUGCUGCGUCAUGUGAAAGCCUUCCCCACUAUCAUGGCCUGCCCUGGAUUCUCAUGGAAUAAAUCCUUAACAAACAACUAACAAACCAAAUUCAGCAACAUGUUAAAGGAUUGUACACCAUGACCAAGUAGGAUCUAUCCCAGGAAUGCAAGAAAUGGACAAGCUGAUUCUAAAAUUCAUAUGGAACUGCAAGGGACACAGAAAGAACCAAAGCAGUCUUGGACAAGAACAAUGUUAGAAGACUCACUUCUCCAUUUCAAAACUUACUACAAAACUAUAGUAAUCGACCAGGUGCGGUGGCUCACGCCUGUAAUCCCAGCAUUUUGGGAGGCCAAGGUG
Molecule: long non-coding RNA, 409 nt
Filed under: Homo sapiens (human)
Lineage: Eukaryota; Metazoa; Chordata; Mammalia; Primates; Hominidae
Description: HSALNT0275281
Source: RNAcentral